This 492-nucleotide ribosomal RNA is filed under the name uncultured bacterium. RNAcentral's name for it is "bacterial SSU rRNA". It matches the Rfam family "Bacterial small subunit ribosomal RNA", at positions 26 to 509 of the family's 1533-position model. The record is from RNAcentral.
GGCUCGAGGACGAACGCUGGCGGCACGCCUAACACAUGCAAGUCGAACGGAACUGUUAAGGAAGAUUUCUUCGGAAUGAUUUCUUUUCAGUUUAGUGGCGGACGGGUGAGUAACGCGUGAGGAACCUGCCUUCCAGAGGGGGAUAACGUUUGGAAACGAACGCUAAUACCGCAUACCUUAUAAAGAUCGCAUGAUUUUUAUAAGAAAGGAGCAAUCCGCUGGAAGAUGGCCUCGCGUCCAAUUAGCUAGUUGGUGAGGUAACGGCCCACCAAGGCGACGAUUGGUAGCCGGACUGAGAGGUUGAACGGCCACAUUGGGACUGAGACACGGCCCAGACUCCUACGGGAGGCAGCAGUGGGGAAUAUUGCACAAUGGGGGAAACCCUGAUGCAGCGAUGCCGCGUGAGGGAAGAAGGUUUUCGGAUUGUAAACCUCUGUUUUAAGUGAAGAUAAUGACGGUAGCUUAAGAGGAAGCCACGGCUAACUACGUGCC